This 495-nucleotide ribosomal RNA is filed under the name uncultured bacterium. RNAcentral describes it as "partial 16S ribosomal RNA". It matches the Rfam family "Bacterial small subunit ribosomal RNA", at positions 30 to 507 of the family's 1533-position model. The record is from RNAcentral.
UGAACGCUGGCGGCGUGCCUACUACAUGCAAGUCGAGCGAACAGACGAGGAGCUUGCUCCUUUGACGUUAGCGGCGGACGGGUGAGUAACACGUGGAUAACCUACCUAUAAGACUGGGAUAACUUCGGGAAACCGGAGCUAAUACCGGAUAACAUGUUGAACCGCAUGGUUCAACAGUGAAAGACGGUCUUGCUGUCACUUAUAGAUGGAUCCGCGCCGCAUUAGCUAGUUGGUAAGGUAACGGCUUACCAAGGCAACGAUGCGUAGCCGACCUGAGAGGGUGAUCGGCCACACUGGAACUGAGACACGGUCCAGACUCCUACGGGAGGCAGCAGUAGGGAAUCUUCCGCAAUGGGCGAAAGCCUGACGGAGCAACGCCGCGUGAGUGAAGAAGGUCUUCGGAUCGUAAAACUCUGUUAUUAGGGAAGAACAAAUGUGUAAGUAACUAUGCACGUCUUGACGGUACCUAAUCAGAAAGCCACGGCUAACUACGUG